ACACCGGCGGCCCGAGUGGUGAUCGUGAUUAUUGGGUCUAAAGGGUCCGUAGCCGGUUUGGUCAGUCCUCCGGGAAAUCUGAUAGCUCAACUAUUAGGCUUUCGGGGGAUACUACCAGACUUGGAACCGGGAGAGGUAAGAGGUACUACAGGGGUAGGAGUGAAAUCUUGUAAUCCCUGUGGGACCACCUGUGGCGAAGGCGUCUUACCAGAACGGGUUCGACGGUGAGGGACGAAGCCCUGGGGCGC
Molecule: ribosomal RNA, 248 nt
Filed under: uncultured bacterium
Lineage: Bacteria
Description: partial 16S ribosomal RNA
Rfam family: Archaeal small subunit ribosomal RNA
Source: RNAcentral